Long non-coding RNA from Xiphias gladius (swordfish), 650 nucleotides. RefSeq lists it as uncharacterized. The record is from RefSeq and is a predicted model, not a curated record. The transcript is spliced from 3 exons. Lineage: Eukaryota; Metazoa; Chordata; Actinopteri; Istiophoriformes; Xiphiidae.
AUGCACUGCUGUCAGAAACAUCCAAUCAUCCAAUGACAGUCUGUCUGUUUCCAUUCAGUCAAAUUUUCUCUAUUAACAGCUGCUUUAUCAGCUGUGAUCCGCUCCUGUUCUCAGUGUAGCCGUGGAUGUUCAGACAACUGUCACUGGGUCAAUGUGAUACUGAAGGAAACUUAAAAACAGGAAGAUUCUGAAUGAAGUUCUGCAGCCUCUUUUUCCUCUUGUUCCUAAAUGGAUUUCUGGAGAUUUAUUCUGGAGGGACAUCAGAGAUAAUAAUGUCCUCGGGAAGUGGACGUCACACUGAAUCAUAUCAACAUGUGUUUCAUGUUUGUGAGUUCAGAGAAGGACUCAGGACUGAGAAGAGUUACAUGUCUGCCUUCCUGACUUCUAGGGAACGGAGGUGUAGGCUGCUGCAUGGAUGGAGGUAAACUGUCUCCUCUGUUGAUGCCGACAGCAUCCACACUGAAACUCAUCGUCCUCCGACCACGACCACGACCCGCCAUCACUGCUGCUCCUCAGACCAGAUCACACCAGGACAGACUGGAUCUGCAGCUGGUUGGAGAUAAACCAGUUUCAUCUCCACAUCAGAGGGACACAGAAUUAUCUCCUCGCCUGGGCAUCCUCUAACAAUAAAAAAUCUUUGUUUACUUCCA